AGGUGGAGCGAAUCCCUAAAACGACGUCCCAUUCGGAUUGCAGGCUGCAACCCGCCUGCAUGAAGUUGGAAUCGCUAGUAAUCGCGGAUCAGCAUGCCGCGGUGAAUACGUUCCCGGGCCUUGUACACACCGCCCGUCACACCAUGAGAGUCGGGGACACCCGAAGUCCGUAGUCUAACCGCAAGGGGGACGCGGCCGAAGGUGGAUUCGAUAAUUGGGGUGAAGUCGUAACAAGGUACC
Molecule: ribosomal RNA, 240 nt
Filed under: uncultured bacterium
Lineage: Bacteria
Description: partial 16S ribosomal RNA
Rfam family: Bacterial small subunit ribosomal RNA
Source: RNAcentral